GCACAUAAAAGCACACACCUCAGUCAUCACCUGGUCUGAUCUUGAACUUUCCCCGUCUUAGUUACUUGCAUUGACUUCUCAAACUUACCUCUCGACUUACUUCUUCUCCAGCGGAAAUCUCCUAAUCUCCAGAGUUCCUCCAGCGCUCCUCCAACGAUCUCCUCUUCCAAGUCUUCCUCUCCUACGUCCCUCCCGAGCAGGCGAAGGUUCGUUAAAUCCACUCAUCCACUGCGGAGAUGAGGCAAAGAUACCUGAGGGAGAGUUGAGUCGAGUACAGGUACAACGGGCCGGAUCCAGCCAUACAGCGACUCCUCACACCGCCCAGAGCAAACGCGAUCCGAAACCAGCCCACAUCUGCCGAGAUAAGGAUAUGAAUGAGGUACUACAGAGGACGGCAGGUACAAUUUCCAUCUGGUGGAAACGCCGCCUCGGUUCCCACGUCUACGGCACCGCUUUCUUCUGGAAAAGGCACAGGGCAGUCGGCGCAAACUUUCCUGUAUAGAAGACCAACCAAAGGAAGACAGAGCCCACUGCAGAUGGUGAGCCAAAGCCUGCCGCAACCGGCGAGCCAUCGCCAGAGAAGGCGAGGAUCAAUCUAGAGCCGGAGCCUCAUGGAUCAUCUGACCAG
This is a long non-coding RNA of Cyprinus carpio carpio, 628 nucleotides long. The record is from Ensembl. Lineage: Eukaryota; Metazoa; Chordata; Actinopteri; Cypriniformes; Cyprinidae.